AGGACGAACGCUGGCGGCGUGCUUAACACAUGCAAGUCGAGCGACGCUCCUCCUUCGGGAGGAUGACGGAGCGGCGAACGGGUGAGUAACACGUGGGCAACCUGCCCCUAGCUCUGGGAUAACCCCGGGAAAUCGGGACUAAUACCGGAUAUGAAGUCGGACGGCAUCGUCUGACUUGGAAAGUUUUUCGGCUAGGGAUGGGCCCGCGGCCUAUCAGCUUGUUGGUGGGGUAACGGCCUACCAAGGCGACGACGGGUAGCCGGCCUGAGAGGGCGACCGGCCACACUGGGACUGAGACACGGCCCAGACUCCUACGGGAGGCAGCAGUGGGGAAUAUUGCACAAUGGGCGAAAGCCUGAUGCAGCGACGCCGCGUGAGGGAUGACUGCCUUCGGGUUGUAAACCUCUUUCAGCAGGGACGAAGCGAAAGUGACGGUACCUGCAGAAGAAGCACCGGCCAACUACGUGCCAGCAGCCGC
RNAcentral lists this ribosomal RNA (478 nucleotides) under uncultured bacterium. Its description in RNAcentral is "SSU rRNA". It matches the Rfam family "Bacterial small subunit ribosomal RNA", at positions 26 to 518 of the family's 1533-position model. The record is from RNAcentral.